Molecule: ribosomal RNA, 497 nt
Filed under: uncultured bacterium
Lineage: Bacteria
Description: partial 16S ribosomal RNA
Rfam family: Bacterial small subunit ribosomal RNA
Source: RNAcentral
GGGGGGGGGGGGGGGGGGGGCGGGGACGUGCGGGUCGGGCGGGCGGGCGAGGGGCUUGCUCCUCUGCCGUUCGCGGCGGACGGGUGCGUAACCCGUGGGUAACCUACCUAUCAGCCUGGGCUCCCUUCGGGCACCCGGCGCUCAUACCGGAUAAUAUCUUGACCCGCAUGUUUCCAUCGUGAAAGACGGUUUUGCUGUCCCUUCUAGAUUGCUCCGCGCCGCAUUAGCUAGUUGGUAAGGUAACGGCUUCCCAAGGCCACGAUGCGUAGCCGACCUGAGAGGGUGAUCGGCCACACUGGAACGGAGACACGGUCCAGACUCCUACGGGAGGCAGCAGUAGGGAAUCUUCCGCAAUGGGCGAAAGCCUGACGGAGCAACGCCGCGUGAGUGAGGAAGGUCUUCGGAUCGUAAAACUCUGUUAUUAGGGAAGAACAAAUGUGUAAGUAACUAUGCACGUCUUGACGGUACCUAAUCAGAAAGCCACGGCUAACUACGUG